Molecule: ribosomal RNA, 489 nt
Filed under: uncultured bacterium
Lineage: Bacteria
Description: partial 16S ribosomal RNA
Rfam family: Bacterial small subunit ribosomal RNA
Source: RNAcentral
GACGAACGCUGGCGGCGUGCUUAACACAUGCAAGUCGAACGGAAAGGCCCCCAUCUUGGUGGGGGUGCUCGAGUGGCGAACGGGUGAGUAACACGUGGGUGAUCUGCCCUGUACUUCGGGAUAAGCUUGGGAAACUGGGUCUAAUACCGGAUAGGACCAUGGUUUAGUGUCUCAUGGUGGAAAGAUUAUUGUUUUGGUGCAGGAUGAGCUCGCGGCCUAUCAGCUUGUUGGUGGGGUAAUGGCCUACCAAGGCGUCGACGGGUAGCCGGCCUGAGAGGGUGGACGGCCACAUUGGGACUGAGAUACGGCCCAGACUCCUACGGGAGGCAGCAGUGGGGAAGAUUGCACAAUGGGCGCAAGCCUGAUGCAGCGACGCCGCGUGGGGGAUGACGGCCGUCGGGUUGUAAACUCCUUUCGUUAGGGACGAAGCCGCACUUUUUUUGGGUGUGGUGACGGUACCUUUGUUAAGAAGCACCGGCUAACUACGUG